Olea europaea var. sylvestris is the source of this 1264-nucleotide long non-coding RNA. RefSeq lists it as uncharacterized. The transcript has 2 exons. NCBI's taxonomy places the organism in Eukaryota, Viridiplantae, Streptophyta, Magnoliopsida, Lamiales, Oleaceae. The record is from RefSeq and is a predicted model, not a curated record.
AAAAAGACGUUCAGUAACAAGAAAAGGUGGAAGAUAGGAGUAAAAAUGUCAACACAUAAAAGCUAUAGGACUUUCUGCGUCAAUUACCCAUUUAAAUAUACUAACGCCACAUUCACACGUUCCUCCACCUCCUUCCGCCACCCGUCACUCUCUCCUAGCCUCCCCGUACCAAUUGCCGCGCCUCCAAUCCUACGCCCGGUCCCCCCCUCCGCCGUUGGUCCACAAUUAAGAAUCCAAGUUCGAGGGCCGAUGGCGAAAAAUGGAGCAACGGUGGUGCGGGUGGCAACAACCAUCACAAGCGAAAUCAGCAUAACGGCGAAGUGAAGAUUAACCAUAGUGGGUAAUGUUGUUUCUGGGAUUUUAUACAGGUGUGUUAAAUAUGACAAGAUCGUGAUUAAUCAGGAGUCACAGAAGGGACCCAGAGUGAUUGGGGAAGAGUGGAUAAAGCGGUUAUGCUGAUCACCGGUAUCAUCAUUAUAAGCAUGGUGGUCCACCAAAAAGGUUCAACUAUUCAAGAAAGUCAUUCUCAUGAUAAGAGAUUCUACAUUUUAAUUGGAACAAAGAGAGCAGAAUGAAUGGCAUGGAUGGAAGCAUUGCAGGCCGUUAAGGAUAUGUUCCCGCAAAUGUCCAACAGUGAGUCAAUGGAUCCAGUGGACAAUGUUUCUAUCUCCUGAAAAGUUGAGGCAGCGAUUGUUGGAAGAAAAUGUGAAUGAGGCUGCUUUCAGGACAGCAAGCAGAUCAUGAAGAAUGAAUUUGUCUCUGCUGAAUCAAUUGAUACUGUUGAAGUAGAAGCAUUGGCUCCUUGUUGAGUCGCUCCAACAGUUAGUGGUAUCUGUCAUGAAUAAGUCCUUACAAGUCAAAUUCAUGAUACUAGUUCGGUUUCUUCUCCAAGGAGAUGGGCCUGUUAAAGCGUUUCCAGAUUUCCCUAGAUUUGUAGCCGGGUAGGUUGGGACUGUUACUUGUUUCUUCUUGUGCUUUGGGAAGAGGCAGUAAAACAUUGAAUCUUUCCGCACUACUUUCUAUAGAUUUCUUGCAGAUAGUUACUUGACUUUUUCUUUUUGACUUGCUUUUCGUUGUUAUAGUGAGAUACUUGAAAGAACAUUGCUGUCAAGAGAAUCAAGAUAAGGAGUUCUUUUACAGAAUGUUAGUGUUACUAAUAUAUUCAAAUUCAUGUGUUGGAUGGAUAAUGAUUCUUGGGUUCUUUAUGCUGUAUAUUGCACCAAAAUAAAGUAAAUAAAAAUAAUGUUCUAUAUGUUCCAUUGCC